AUAAGAUUAGUAUAUUAAUUACAUUUAACUUCCAAUUAAAAAAAUCUAAAACCUUUAGGAUCUUAUA
This 67-nucleotide transfer RNA is filed under the name Scotoplanes sp. TT-2017. Its description in RNAcentral is "tRNA-Gly". The record is from RNAcentral. RNAcentral also lists the same sequence under 2 other names. Lineage: Eukaryota; Metazoa; Echinodermata; Holothuroidea; Elasipodida; Elpidiidae.